GACGAACGCUGGCGGCGUGCUUAACACAUGCAAGUCGAACGGAAAGGCCCUGCUUUUGUGGGGUGCUCGAGUGGCGAACGGGUGAGUAACACGUGAGUAACCUGCCCUUGACUUUGUGAUAACUUCAGGAAACUGGGGCUAAUACCGGAUAGGAGCUCCUGCUGCAUGGUGGGGUUUGGAAAGUUUCGGCGGUUGGGGAUGGACUCGCGGCUUAUCAGCUUGUUGGUGGGGUAGUGGCUUACCAAGGCUUUGACGGGUAGCCGUCCUGAGAGGGUGACCGGCCACAUUGGGACUGAGAUACGGCCCAGACUCCUACGGGAGGCAGCAGUGGGGAAUAUUGCACAAUGGGCGGAAGCCUGAUGCAGCAACGCCGCGUGCGGGAUGACGGCCUUCGGGUUGUAAACCGCUUUCGCCUGUGACGAAGCGUGAGUGACGGUAAUGGGUAAAGAAGCACCGGCUAACUACGUG
This 468-nucleotide ribosomal RNA is filed under the name uncultured bacterium. RNAcentral describes it as "partial 16S ribosomal RNA". It matches the Rfam family "Bacterial small subunit ribosomal RNA", at positions 28 to 507 of the family's 1533-position model. The record is from RNAcentral.